RNAcentral lists this ribosomal RNA (836 nucleotides) under Haptophyta environmental samples. Its description in RNAcentral is "bacterial SSU rRNA". It matches the Rfam family "Bacterial small subunit ribosomal RNA", at positions 481 to 1325 of the family's 1533-position model. The record is from RNAcentral. Lineage: Eukaryota; Haptophyta.
GAGGAAUAAGCAUCGGCUAACUCCGUGCCAGCAGCCGCGGUAAUACGGGGGAUGCAAGCGUUAUCCGGAAUCAUUGGGCGUAAAGCGCCUGUAGGUUGUUUAAUAAGUCUGUUGUUAAAGACUAGGGCUUAACCCUAGAAAAGCAAUGGAAACUACUAGACUAGAGUAUGGCAGGGGUAGAGGGAAUUUCUAGUGUAGCGGUGAAAUGCGUAGAUAUUAGAAAGAACACCAGUGGCGAAAGCGCUCUACUGGACCAUUACUGACACUCAGAGGCGAAAGCUAGGGUAGCAAAAGGGAUUAGAUACCCCUGUAGUCCUAGCCGUAAACGAUGGAUACUAGAUGUUGUGUUUUAUAGACAGUAUCGUAGCUAACGCGUUAAGUAUCCCGCCUGGGGAGUACGCUCGCAAGGGUGAAACUCAAAGGAAUUGACGGGGGCCCGCACAAGCGGUGGAGCAUGUGGUUUAAUUCGAUGCAACGCGAAGAACCUUACCAGGACUUGACAUACUACAAAUUCUUUUGAGAAAAAGAAGUGCCUUCGGGAAUGUAGAUACAGGUGGUGCAUGGCUGUCGUCAGCUCGUGUCGUGAGAUGUUGGGUUAAGUCCCGCAACGAGCGCAACCCUUAUUUUUAGUUACCAAUUCGUUGGGUUCUCUAGAAAGACUGCCGGUGACAAACCGGAGGAAGGUGAGGAUGACGUCAAGUCAGCAUGCCCCUUAUGUCCUGGGCUACACACGUGCUACAAUGGUUAAGACAAAGAGUUGCGAGCUCGCGAGAGUCAGCUAAUCUCAUAAACUUAGCCUAAGUUCAGAUUGUAGGCUGCAACUCGCCUGCGUGAAG